RNAcentral lists this long non-coding RNA (4311 nucleotides) under Canis lupus familiaris (dog). RNAcentral describes it as "lncRNA (ENSCAFG00845030546.1)". Lineage: Eukaryota; Metazoa; Chordata; Mammalia; Carnivora; Canidae. The record is from RNAcentral.
UUAAAGAAAGCACUUUAUUUUCCAUUUAAGCAACUUGGUCACAGUACGUUAUUUUACAUAAAUGGCAGUAAUUUUUUAAAUCUCCAUUUAAAAGGCCUUGUGUCUGAGUCUGAGGUGAUAAGAGGAUAUGAAUACAAGUAUAAAAACAGUGCAAAACGUUUAGCCUGCAGCCUCCAGCGCCGGCGUCGGGAAUCCCCUUUAGUGUUGCUGGGCCAGUGACAUUAAGUAUCGAAUAUUAAAUAUUCCCGGGCUUCCUUUAGCCUAACAUCAGACCCAGAAAUGUAAUCAAAUAAAAAGGUUCAAAAGCCCUAACAACGUAAGCCAUCAAAUCCCCCAGGCCACGGGAUCAGAACAGACUGAGCUUGCAAGGUCUAGAACAUGGCAUCGUGUCAGCGGUGCCCCAAGAAGAAAGAUGGGAGGGAUGUCUGGUGCAUCGGUCACUAGAAUAGACUAAGCUCUGGUUUUAAAGCUUUGCCUUUAAAGUAUGGAUUUUCUAGACGUGAAGGUGCCACCAGGAAGGCUAGAGUGGCAGUAAGUCAAAAGCCCAACUCAGAAAUAGCUGGAAAUAGCCACAACCUCUAAGAAAUUGGUCUCCGUUAACCAUUCCGUCUUUGGCUGCUGCUGCUGCUACAGGAGAGCACUUGGUGCCAACUGAACUGGGGUAACAGUCCAUUAGCAACAGGAUCACAUUUAGCUGGUUUUGCAAAACGUUUCUAUUAAUCACAGCAAACACCCACGAGAACGCAGGAGAUUUUAUUCCGCGCUAAGGUGAGCAGAGCUCUCCUUUCUUCCCUGCAUCACCUUGGCAGUGUUUAAUAUAAAAUGGCAUACUUGCCAGGCUGACGAGAAGACCAGAUUCCAAACAGGUGCUGCGACCAAAAGUCUCUAUCAUCCCUCGCUUGUUUGAGGAAAUUCUCUUUUUUGCAAAGGCAGGGUACCUAAAUAUGGCUAAAAUGAAGUCCUAUAAACCUACUUACCUCGUUUAAAGAGACCCCUAAACGUCACAAAGCAUUGUUAAACAUCCUGGUUAAAACUGUGCUUCUAGAUUUCGUAUUUUUGCUUAUGUUAGUUGAGUUUUGUAAUAAAAAGCUAACGUCCUACCCAAAGGAAAGAGAGUCUCUGAAGCAGAUGGUCGGUAUUACAGAGAAACCGUCCUGGCAUUGUGUUUUCUGGCAGUGGAAGAUUCUAGUAUAGAAAACUUUCUCUUACUAAAAAUAUUAGGAGUACCAAGGGCUAUUGCAUUAGAGGAGGCCUGCAGCAGUCUCUGCUAGGCAGGUGGCACAGUGGAAGACAGCAAUUACUUUAUUCACCAAAGGACAACACUACUUGAAUGGCCAAGGUUCCCAGUAUCCUAAGCAAACACAGCAGAGGCUGAGGUGACAUGAGCGGCAGGGUCCCUAAAACUCACUUAAGGCUUCUUAAUGGUCAUUUCAUUUCAGGUGGGCCCAGCUAUGACCAAAGUACUUUUUGGGUAUCAUUAAAAACAAACAAACAAAAAAACAACAACAAAAAAAAACCCCAACAUUUUAGAUACUGAAGGACCUUCUCCUUUCAUUUGAUCCUGAUCGUCAACUAUUUUUCCCUUAAAUCUUCCAAAAGGACCCACUUCUCCUUCCCAGAAAUUGUACACAAUGGCGUGGCCGAAAUGGAGGAGGUCAGAACGUAGAUCAUUUGCCGAGCUCCGUAUCCCUAUGUUUACUAACAGGCUGAGGAAGUGGAGGGGAGGGUGGGGGAGGAAAGGGAACUAUGCUGGGGGUGGCGGAGGGCCUGCCCUCAUGGCCAACAAACUGCCGGCUCAUAGGUUUGCAGAGCACUGUCCCCACGGCUAUCAUCAUCGUCGUCACCGUCACCACCACCACCACCACCACCACCACCACCACUGGUUUCUCUGGGACUCAGUCGUUCACAAGCCUUGUCCUUUAAAAGGACAAAAUCCCUCAAAUCGUUCCGGGUCAUAAACAGAUGUAAGAAUCUAGAAGUGCAGACUUAGGAGGGUGUCCCAGGGCCUAGAGAAACCCUGCUCCCAGACGGCCCCUUGUUGGUUGCAAAUACUUCAGUAGGCUUCUACCCCCACACAGCUACUGCACUUUUCAAACCCUUGGGCUUGCUCCUGCAUAUGCCAAUCGCGAAGACCUCAAGGAACUGAAAACAAGCACCAUGAUUGAACCAGCCAGAAUCCUAUAGAAGGAGUCCUCCCACAGGGGAGGGAAUCUGAGUGGGGCCCCCGCAGGUAAGCCAUGGGGGGAGGGGGGCGUGAUAAAACCGGCAGUCGUUCCUAGCUCUCCCACCUGAUCGUGGUCUUCUGGGUACCACUCAUCUUUAUCGUGUCCUGUUUUGAUGGCUGUUAAAGAUUCGGCAAGAGGCUAAAAUCACUGUCUUAUUGUUCCUAGGAAUUUUUAUCAUCUAAUGUUAGGAGAUCAGAGUUGGCGGUACAUCUGGCAUCCAAGAGACCGCAACUAGGGAUUCCUGGCCGCAUGUGCUGGCCCUGACCUUAUUCCUCUCUUAUCACAAACCUAGCAGCAAGGAACUCGUUCUGUGGGAUCCAACGUUAAUUCCAAAUGAAUGCUUGACUCUGGGCCAGAGCAAGGGCAUCACUGGAGAAACCGCAGACUGCUAACAUCCCCAGACUUGCUCUUUGGCUCAUCCCAGUGGAAUACGGAGCCUCUCACUGGUUAAACAAUCCAUCUCUGGGGAGAGCAGCGACAAGCCUGUAUAAAAAUGUGGUGAGUGUCUGGAGGACAGCUUUGUUUCGCAGCAGGACUAGGGAUGGUGCCAGCCACCGAGGGUAGAGUUGCAGGAAGUAGCAGUACUUCCUCGCAACACGUAUGAACUUCUUACGACAGCAGCAUGCACGCACAGACUGAAACAGCUGGCAGUAUUUCCCCUACAUUAAGCUAUAAACCAAAGCAAAUUUAGGGACUCAUGAAUUUUCUUUGGGAUUGCAAAAUUAGUACGUGUAUAAAACCAAAUAUUUCAAGAGGGUAUUUUCCCCAUCCAAAAGUGCCUCAUCUUACCUCUAUGGCAGAACAGACCCGUUCUCUACAAAUAUUUAAUCUUUCAUAUGUUUUCAGUUUUAAGAUAUGAUUAAAAUAACAUGAUCUUAGAAAGAGCCAGGGAAGAACCAUAAGCCAUGAAUUAGCGGAAAGCACAUAUACCCUGUUUUUUCUCCCCAAGCGAGAUUUCUAGGGAAAGGUCAAUGAGAAGUCAUGUGCAAGGAUUGACCUCUUGGUCAAUCAACUUCUCAGAGAGUUUGUGCCAGAAAACUGGUUUUUGCAACCGAGUGCUGAAACUGACGGCGUUUGCAUUACUUCCUGGGGGUGCGGGGGGAUAAUCAAGCCCUUGAUUAUUAAUCAGCCACAUUACCCAGGAGCGAGAGUGAAGUGCUCCCCACAGAGGUGUCUGUUCUCCUCUUCCAGCCUCAUCCUAAGUGUGCUAGCACCUUCCCAGGUGAAACACGGAAAGAGGAAAUAAACAGUAAUGCCUAUUGGAGUUUGGAGCUAUUUAGUGUAAAUCCAAACAAUAAAUAUAGAAACAAAGAGAUAAACAUAAGGACUCAUCACCUAAACUCACAACCACUGUAUUAUCCUACCAAUAAUCGUAGCUUAUCGACUGCGCCUUCAGGAUCAGGGGACGGUGUGCAUCCAUCCGACCAUCCUGUCUGAGUAGUUAACGUCUCAUACUUCAGAAAGAGAGAUUCCCGCAACUGUACAAUGUGGUAUCGCAGGAUCUUUCACUCUGAAAUGCUGAAAAUGGAUUACUCUGGUAGUUUUGGCUUCAGUACUCUGACCUACAAACAUUUCUCUCGGUCUUUGAGUUUUCCUAAUAAUACUUCAUCCCUCUUGGGUGCUGCAGUCACUUCCCAGUGCUUCCCACAUACCACGUCCCUCGCAUGACCCUCAUGCCGGUGAGGUGGCCGGGGCCGGCAUCAGCACCCCGCUUAUAGAUGAACCUGAGACUUGGGGAAGCGACUCAACUGAGGGUCACAUGGCUAUCAAGAACUGAAAGAGGGACUGGAAACCCUCCUGAUGCAAACUCUUUCUCCCCUAACUAAUGGAUGGGCAUUGCUUCUACCAAUCUGUGCACUAGCAAUCCACAUCCUUUUCCACUCCUGGUGACUGAGUUAACAAGGUGACUGGAAAAGAAUGGCUCUACUUUCACUGCUUUGAUAUAAAAAUCUCUUAAGUUGAAGUCAGAAAAAUUCAUUUCUUCCCAGUCCAGUGUCUAAACCUGAGCGUGGCCCUAUAUAGCCUUUUAAGAAACUGGGGAUAAAAAUGAACAUCCUGCGCGGACACUGAAGUGUUCGAUGGAUGG